Molecule: long non-coding RNA, 1173 nt
Filed under: Fragaria vesca (wild strawberry)
Lineage: Eukaryota; Viridiplantae; Streptophyta; Magnoliopsida; Rosales; Rosaceae
Description: long non-coding RNA (FVES_LNC000971)
Source: RNAcentral
CUGCAUGUGCAGGUAUUGUCAUUACUGUUUUAUGCUAUUGCUUUUUGCAACGUGUUCUUGAUUAAAUUUAGAAACUAAACCUAGGACACAUAACCAGGAAAAAGAGGAAUGGAAAGAAAUGAAACUGAAAUUGUGACUAUUGAUGGCAAUGGUCUAUUUGAUUAGUAAGACCAUGAAUAUGGUCAGUUCUCAGUGAAAAUAUGGGUGCUAAGACUAGUUACGGUCUAGCUGUCUUACAGAUGUGUAAUUGAUAAUUUAGUUUGCUUAAGUCACUAAGCAGUUUCUGGAAAAGUUAAUAAAGAUUGGUUGAAACUAGAUAGACAAAAUCAACAAGAGUAAGAACUUUUGAUGCUUAACGAGAUUUUGAGGAACAUGAUGAACUGAUGGAUAUUUCAAACUGAAAAUUUUAAAUCUCUUUGAUUGUGUAAAGGAAAUAUGGUGGACGAAUGUUGCAAAAGGAUAACAUGAAAGAAAUUGAAAUUUGACAAACUGCUCAUGAAAAGGAAAUUGAAACUGUCUGUAGUAUACAAUAUGCAGUAUUUACGAAUUCUAUACUGAGAAAGGGAUGUGAAUCUGAAAUGUGGUACUGCCACAGUGUGAUAAUUUGGAUAAAAUAAAACAGUAAUAGACCAUUGGCUAGAAAUUCACUGCAGGUCUAUAUAUGUGAUUUGAGGCUUUCGGUUGACCAUUUGCUAAAGAAGGGAUUGCUGGGGAUUCUAUUUCAUUAAUGUGUGAUUGUUUGCAUGUCCAUGAAAUGCUGUCAUGGUUACAUGGAUCAUAUCAGCAUGAAUUGAUAUAGUGUAGCUCCAUGUGGGUAACUGCUAACAAAACCGGGUGUUAUAAUUUGAACUGAUCAAAUAUUAUUUUAAAUUUUGAGGACGAAAUUUUUUUUUAGGGGGUGAGUUUGUAAUAUUCUUGUAAUUUUAAAAGUUAUUGAAGAUAUUAUUUUGUAGCUAUAUGUCUAUUUGAUAAAUUAUUUAUCGGUCAAUAUUUGUGAUUAUUAAUCAAUCCUGAAAUUAUAUAUAAGUUAAAGUGAGGUUCAUUGACAAAUAUUAAGACCCUCGGUGGGUAAUAUGAUGCUUGAGAAUUGCGAGUUAAUUACCGUAACUUCUAGAAGUUCUAGAAUUUUAGAGAAUUAUUUAGAAAAUUGAUAUUUCAGUUGGUGAAAUCUAG